This 125-nucleotide non-coding RNA is filed under the name bovine gut metagenome. RNAcentral describes it as "FMN riboswitch (RFN element)". It matches the Rfam family "FMN riboswitch aptamer (RFN element)". Rfam says of the family: The RFN element is a highly conserved domain that is found frequently in the 5'-untranslated regions of prokaryotic mRNAs that encode for flavin mononucleotide (FMN) biosynthesis and transport proteins. The record is from RNAcentral.
AUCUUCGGGGCGAGGCGAAAAUCCUCACCGGCGGUAAUGCGUUUUCACGCAGAGCCCGCGAGCCUUGAACAGGCUGAUCCGGUGCAAUUCCGGAGCCGACGGUCACAGUCCGGAUGAAAGAAGAU